RNAcentral lists this ribosomal RNA (305 nucleotides) under uncultured bacterium. Its description in RNAcentral is "bacterial SSU rRNA". It matches the Rfam family "Bacterial small subunit ribosomal RNA", at positions 333 to 635 of the family's 1533-position model. The record is from RNAcentral.
UUUAUCCUACGGGAGGCAGCAGUGAGGAAUAUUGGUCAAUGGACGCAAGUCUGAACCAGCCAUGCCGCGUGCAGGAAGAAGGUGCUAUGCAUUGUAAACCUCUUUUGCCGGGGAGCAACGGGGUCCUUGCGAGGUCCCAAUGAGAGUACCCGGAGAAAAAGCAUCGGCUAACUCCGUGCCAGCAGCCGCGGUAAUACGGAGGAUGCGAGCGUUAUCCGGAUUUAUUGGGUUUAAAGGGUGCGUAGGCGGGCUGUUAAGUCAGCGGUCAAAUGUCGGGGCUCAACCCCGGCCUGCCGUUGAAACUG